GCCGGUGUGAUGGAAUUGGUAGACGUGCCGGACUCAAAAUCCGGUGGGAGUCAAAUCCCGUGUCGGUUCGACCCCGACCACCGGCA
Molecule: transfer RNA, 86 nt
Filed under: Cyanobacteria bacterium UBA11991
Lineage: Bacteria; Bacillati; Cyanobacteriota
Also listed under: 1 other name
Description: tRNA-Leu
Rfam family: tRNA
About the family: Transfer RNA (tRNA) molecules are approximately 80 nucleotides in length.
Source: RNAcentral